Molecule: small nuclear RNA, 103 nt
Organism: Eptesicus fuscus (big brown bat)
Lineage: Eukaryota; Metazoa; Chordata; Mammalia; Chiroptera; Vespertilionidae
Source: RefSeq, a predicted model, not a curated record
CUGCUCACUUUGCAGCACAUAUACUGAAACUGGAACUAUACAGAGAUUAGCAUGGCCCCUGCACAAGGAUGACAUGCAAAUUCAUGAAGCGUUCUAUAUUUUA